GGCUUUCCUGAAGCUUAGACAGGCUUUAUCCCACUCUGCUGGCUAAAAGAAGUAGGAAUAACGCACUGGGUGAGACACCGUCUGGCUUAUUCUCAUCUAUUUUCUUUUCAUUCUUUUGGAAAGUGGACACAAAGCAUAGAGUUAAAAGAGCUUUUUUUUUUUUUUUUUUUUUUUUCUUCACUGUGGUGAUAAAAACCACAGUGCAGGGGCUGGGCGUGGUGGCUCACGCCUGUAAUCCCACCACUUUGGGAGGCCAAGGCAGGCGGAUCACCUGAGGUGGGGAGUUCGAGACCAGCCUGAUCAACAUGGAGAAAACCUGUCUCUCCUAAAAAUACAAAAUUAACCGAGCAUGUUGGCGCAUGCCUGUAAUCUCAGCUACUUGGAAGGCUGAGGCAGGAGAAUUGCUUCAAACUGGGCAGAGGUUGCAGUGAGCCAAGGUUGACCCACUGCACUCCAGCCUGGGCAACAAGAGCAAAACUCCAUCUCAAAAAAAAAAAAAAAGAAAGAAACAGUGCCGAAAAAUCACAAUGAUUUGAGUUCUUCAAAAACCUUUGAUUGGCUGCAUUGGCUCUGUUCUGCAUAUUACUAGACUUCUUACAUGAUCACAAGUAACCACUAAUUGGUUAAAACCAAAGAGAGAGAGAGAGAGAGUGUGUGUGUGUGUGUGUGUGUUUGGUUGGGGGGUGUUGUGUUAGCUUCCAGGUGAAUGCAUUAUCUGUUAAUCCUGUUUAUUGAUCUGUUUUUAUAAGUGCUCCAUGAUUCUCUGAAAACAGUAUACUAUGUAUCUAAUUUUUGGAUACAGGAUGGACAUACGUACUCAAACUGUGUUUUUCAAUUUGUACUGUAUUUGUUUCUCUCGACCUGACUUAGUGAUAGAGGUAUAUUAAAGUCUUCCACUAGCAUGGUAGAUUAACAAA
This 917-nucleotide long non-coding RNA is filed under the name Homo sapiens (human). Its description in RNAcentral is "non-protein coding lnc-ZNF557-1:1". The record is from RNAcentral. Lineage: Eukaryota; Metazoa; Chordata; Mammalia; Primates; Hominidae.